This 470-nucleotide ribosomal RNA is filed under the name Escherichia coli. RNAcentral's name for it is "bacterial SSU rRNA". It matches the Rfam family "Bacterial small subunit ribosomal RNA", at positions 1 to 465 of the family's 1533-position model. Lineage: Bacteria; Pseudomonadati; Pseudomonadota; Gammaproteobacteria; Enterobacterales; Enterobacteriaceae. The record is from RNAcentral.
UUAAAUUGAAGAGUUUGAUCAUGGCUCAGAUUGAACGCUGGCGGCAGGCCUAACACAUGCAAGUCGAACGGUAACAGGAAACAGCUUGCUGUUUCGCUGACGAGUGGCGGACGGGUGAGUAAUGUCUGGGAAACUGCCUGAUGGAGGGGGAUAACUACUGGAAACGGUAGCUAAUACCGCAUAACGUCGCAAGACCAAAGAGGGGGACCUUCGGGCCUCUUGCCAUCGGAUGUGCCCAGAUGGGAUUAGCUAGUAGGUGGGGUAACGGCUCACCUAGGCGACGAUCCCUAGCUGGUCUGAGAGGAUGACCAGCCACACUGGAACUGAGACACGGUCCAGACUCCUACGGGAGGCAGCAGUGGGGAAUAUUGCACAAUGGGCGCAAGCCUGAUGCAGCCAUGCCGCGUGUAUGAAGAAGGCCUUCGGGUUGUAAAGUACUUUCAGCGGGGAGGAAGGGAGUAAAGUUAAUA